Dipodomys spectabilis (banner-tailed kangaroo rat) is the source of this 383-nucleotide long non-coding RNA. RefSeq lists it as uncharacterized. Lineage: Eukaryota; Metazoa; Chordata; Mammalia; Rodentia; Heteromyidae. The transcript is spliced from 3 exons. The record is from RefSeq and is a predicted model, not a curated record.
CCUCCAUCGGACUGACCCAGAACAAUGCUCAAAGAUAGGCUUUAUCUGUUGCAGGACAGAAUUGGGAUCAUCCCCCUGGAUGUAACCUUAGGUACUCUCCCUCAUCCACCUCCCUUGGGGUCAGGAUUCUGGAUGCACUCCCUGCUGGGAGGAUGAGGCAUCACAGAAGAGGAGGGGAGCUGGACACUCCUUCUGCCCUGGGCACUCCUAGGCCCAGUUAUCAGCAAUCCUCCCAAUGUCUUCCACCGGGACAUGGAGCAGCUGGCCCCAGAAGUGCUCAGGUAUCAGUUGGGUGGGGCAUGGGGACAUAGGGCAAGCCCCAGAACUCCUAGUGGGUCUGAUCCACCCUGGAAGACCAGGCAAUCUGGAGGAGGCAGAUGGGA